Molecule: non-coding RNA, 1892 nt
Organism: Oncorhynchus mykiss (rainbow trout)
Lineage: Eukaryota; Metazoa; Chordata; Actinopteri; Salmoniformes; Salmonidae
Source: RefSeq, a predicted model, not a curated record
UUUCACUCUCUGUCUCUCUCUUUCACUCUCUCUGUCUCUCUCUCUGUCACUCUUUCUGUUUCAGUGCAAAUGGUUUAAAAAAAAAAAUCCAUCUCAAUCUCUGACUCAGUGAGAGACUAAGAUUAAGUGCACAAUCAUGCACCCACGUUCAUAUUGGAGUCAGACUAACUCAGUUUACAGUCUAAACCCCAUGUCAGGGCCAGUACAAGUAAAAACCGUGUGUGUGUGUGUGUGUGUGUGUGUGAGGUUUCAUGUGGAUGAACUAUGAAGGAGUCUGUAGUCCUGACCUCUGUGAUCGUUUACUCUGUUAACCGCAGGAUCAAAGUCACUCAGAUCUGGGAGCGGGCGGUCAUGGCAACAAAAGCCAUAUUGUAAACCCUGAUCAGACAAAAUACUUAUAUAGUCUCCACAGUCACAUGGUCACCUCCUCCAAACAUCCAGCAGAAACAUUUUGUCCUUUUUCUGACUGUUCUGUUGCCUUUAUCUCAGAAAGCCUUUAGUUUCUCUCCUCUCUGCCUCUAUAAUGGUGCUCAGCUCACCUCAACCUGUCCUGGUUAACAAAGGCUUCAAGACAGACACACACACACACACACACACACACUGCCCCAACGCCCAUUUACCAGCAGCACCUGAAAAGGUGUCAUUUGUUCGUAAAGACAUUAUUGUCCUCUGAAGAUUAGUUACCAUGACAUCGUCUCUGCUUACACUUAAACAGACGCUGUUUAAUUUGGAAGGAGAAGAAAACACUUACGCUCCGUCGCUUCCAAAGAAAACACAGUUACAAGUCACAACGUGGAGCGAGUAGCGGUUCAUAGAGAGAGUCAUCUUCUGAAGGAGUUGUGCAUGUUUCUGGUGAGAGAUACUGUCUAGUGGGAGGUGGGGUAGUAAUGCUGUCUAGUGGGAGGUGGUGUAGUAAUGCUGUCUAGUGGGAGGUGGGGUAGCGGUUCAUAGAGAGAGUCAUCUUCUGAAGGAGUUGUGCAUGUUUCUGGUGAGAGAUACUGUCUAGUGGGAGGUGGGGUAGUAAUGCUGUCUAGUGGGAGGUGGUGUAGUAAUGCUGUCUAGUGGGAGGUGGGGUAGCGGUUCAUAGAGAGAGUCAUCUUCUGAAGGAGUUGUGCAUGUUUCUGGUGAGAGAUACUGUCUAGUGGGAGGUGGAGUAGUAAUGCUGUCUAGUGGGAGGUGGAGUAGUAAUACUGUCUAGUGGGAGGUGGAGUAGUAAUACUGUCUAGUGGGAGGUGGGGUAGUAAUGCUGUCUAGUGGGAGGUGGGGUAGCGGUUCAUAUAGAGAGUCAUCUUCUGAAGGAGUUGUGCAUGUUUCUGGUGAGAGAUGCUGUCUAGUGGGAGGUGGGGUAGUAAUACUGUCUGGUGAGAGAUGCUGUCUAGUGGGAGGUGGGGUAGUAAUGCUGUCUGGUGAGAGAUGCUGUCUAGUGGGAGGUGGGGUAGCGGUUCAUAUAGAGAGUCAUCUUCUGAAGGAGUUGUGCAUGUUUCUGGUGAGAGAUGCUGUCUAGUGGGAGGUGGAGUAGUAAUACUGUCUAGUGGGAGGUGGGGUAGUAAUGCUGUCUAGUGGGAGGUGGGGUAGCGGUUCAUAUAGAGAGUCAUCUUCUGAAGGAGUUGUGCAUGUUUCUGGUGAGAGAUGCUGUCUAGUGGGAGGUGGAGUAGUAAUACUGUCUAGUGGGAGGUGGGGUAGUAAUGCUGUCUAGUGGGAGGUGGGGUAGCGGUUCAUAUAGAGAGUCAUCUUCUGAAGGAGUUGUGCAUGUUUCUGGUGAGAGAUGCUGUCUAGUGGGAGGUGGGGUAGUAAUACUGUCUAGUGGGAGGUGGGGUAGCGGUUCAUAGAGAGAGUCAUCUUCUGAAGGAGUUGUGCAUGUUUCUGGUGAGAGAUGCUGUCUAGUGGGAGGU